RNAcentral lists this long non-coding RNA (283 nucleotides) under Homo sapiens (human). Its description in RNAcentral is "PREDICTED lncRNA (TCONS_00262182)". Lineage: Eukaryota; Metazoa; Chordata; Mammalia; Primates; Hominidae. The record is from RNAcentral.
UGGGAAACGUGCCGUUGGCAGCCCGCCACCCCUCCAUCGUGACCUCAGUCUGCCAAACAGGGAAAUUACUCCAGGAUUUGAAUCAUCACAAGAGAUUCACCAGAGGAUUUUAUACACUUGGGCUGUGGCAGCAGACUAAUUACAUCACAGCACUAGGCUAAAGAAGAAAAAUCACAUGAUCAUAUCAAUAGAUGCAGAAAAAGCAUCUGACAAAAACCAGCUCUCAUUCAUGAUCAGAACUCUCAGCAAACUAGUAAUAGAGGGGAACUUACUCAACUUGAUA